UGAAUUAGGGUUCCUUGGGACACAAGCCUCAAACCCUUUGACUUGCUAUGAUAAAAAUGAUGAAUUGAGAUACUAGGGAGGCAUAUUUGAUGGAUGAGAGCUUUAGGAACCAUUGUCAUGCUUGCCUUCAUCUUCUCUUGGCCAUAUCAUUGCACAAAGGAUCACCUAGAAGCUUUGGGCCUUGUGAUUGCUCAAGCUACAAACAAGAAAUGUUAGUGACAUAUUUUUGUGCUUUUGG
RNAcentral lists this long non-coding RNA (238 nucleotides) under Lathyrus oleraceus (garden pea). RNAcentral describes it as "Pisum sativum (pea) long non-coding RNA (PSAT_LNC036394)". The record is from RNAcentral. Lineage: Eukaryota; Viridiplantae; Streptophyta; Magnoliopsida; Fabales; Fabaceae.